Molecule: long non-coding RNA, 592 nt
Organism: Mercurialis annua (annual mercury)
Lineage: Eukaryota; Viridiplantae; Streptophyta; Magnoliopsida; Malpighiales; Euphorbiaceae
Exons: 4
Source: RefSeq, a predicted model, not a curated record
CUUUGCCCACUUAAUAUCAUCAUUCACAAAUGAAUAUUCAUUCAUUUCAAGCCAAAAUUUGCAGCAACAAAGGAUCAAAUCCGUAACCCUUCUUCUCAAUUCUUCUCCAAAAUUCAAAUGAUCACAACUUCUUCGUUUCUCAACGAAAUUUAGCGAUUCUUGCGGCCACGGAACGAGGAAACGAUUAUCUACAGAUCUGUGGGUUGAAUUUGAGGUGUUUACAAGCUUCCAUGGAAGGUUUUUGAUGAUGAAUUUGGGCAUGGAACCUUCGGCCAAGAGACAAUCAUCAAGACUCGAAGGAGCGACUAUCGAUAAGGCUCGAGGCAAACGGAUCGAGAUAUUGUCAAGCUUAUUUGAAGAAUUUGGAUAGCAAGUGGGAUAGUAUGAUAUGAUUUGGAAAGUCAAGUUUCCGAAGUUUUAAUUCUCGGAAGUUAUUUGCACAAGAAGUGAAAGAAGGUUUUCAUUCUAGCGGUCCGCAGUAGUCUAGAUGUUUUUGUCUAGGUAUUUGUAUUGCGCAUUUUAACUCUGAUGCUUUUGUAAAAUGGGGUCACAUGUAUUUUGAUAUAUGAAACAUGAUUUGAUUUGCGAAAAA